CCCCAAACAGUGGUUACAACCUGAUCUGAAGGCACUUAGGAGUUGCUGGGAGGUUAUUCCCUUGGGAAAACUGUUGAUUGGAAAAAAUCACUGAAGAUGUAUGAACAUUCUAGAAGACAUACUGCUUUAGAGCAAUAGAAGACCAGGGUGAUGUGAAAAAGAGACACUUCUCAAGCCUGGAGAUGAGACCUGGGUUACAGGAGCUAGUGACAGAGUUAUGUAAAACCAAGCUUCACAGAAAAAGCUUGUACAGAAAAGCUGACUCAGUAUCUCUGAGUUAAGUAUAUCUUCACAGAGGAGGAGCUGCAAACUGAGGCCCUGCCCAGACACUCCAUCCACCUGGUAUAGAUUGCCUGCUUCCAAGUUAUCAGCCUGGCAAACUCAUGGUACCAAGCAAGGACAAAUGUCAUAGUCCUCCUGGGAAAUGGGCAACAGUGAAUUUUGCUAAUAAGGUGGAAAGUAAUUUUUAAGUGAUAUUUGGAUUAAAAUUGUGAUUUUUAAAACAUUA
Molecule: non-coding RNA, 508 nt
Organism: Macaca mulatta (Rhesus monkey)
Lineage: Eukaryota; Metazoa; Chordata; Mammalia; Primates; Cercopithecidae
Source: RefSeq, a predicted model, not a curated record